GACGAACGCUGGCGGCGUGCUUAACACAUGCAAGUCGAACGGAAAGGCCCUGCUUUUGUGGGGUGCUCGAGUGGCGAACGGGUGAGUAACACGUGAGUAACCUGCCCUUGACUUUGGGAUAACUUCAGGAAACUGGGGCUAAUACCGGAUAGGAGCUCCUGCUGCAUGGUGGGGGUUGGAAAGUUUCGGCGGUUGGGGAUGGACUCGCGGCUUAUCAGCUUGUUGGUGGGGUAGUGGCUUACCAAGGCUUUGACGGGUAGCCGGCCUGAGAGGGUGACCGGCGACAUUGGGACUGAGAUACGGCCCAGACUCCUACGGGAGGCAGCAGUGGGGAAUAUUGCACAAUGGGCGGAAGCCUGAUGCAGCAACGCCGCGUGCGGGAUGACGGCCUUCGGGUUGUAAAGCGCUUUCGCCUGUGACGAAGCGUGAGUGACGGUAAUGGGUAAAGAAGCACCGGCUAACUACGUG
RNAcentral lists this ribosomal RNA (468 nucleotides) under uncultured bacterium. Its description in RNAcentral is "partial 16S ribosomal RNA". It matches the Rfam family "Bacterial small subunit ribosomal RNA", at positions 28 to 507 of the family's 1533-position model. The record is from RNAcentral.